Molecule: long non-coding RNA, 906 nt
Organism: Pogonomyrmex barbatus (red harvester ant)
Lineage: Eukaryota; Metazoa; Arthropoda; Insecta; Hymenoptera; Formicidae
Gene: nau
Source: RefSeq, a predicted model, not a curated record
ACGAGGCUUUUGAGGUGCUCAAGAGGAGGACGAGCAACAAUCCUAACCAACGUUUACCGAAAGUGGAGAUAUUGCGGAACGCUAUCGAGUAUAUCGAGAGUCUCGAGGCGCUAUUACAAGGAAAUAGACCUUCCGGACAUCAGGAUCAUCCUUCUGCCGAGAGCAUAGUUUCGAGCAAGCUGAGGCAUUAUCUUCGCAAAAUAACGGAAGCAGCUUGGACUGUCUCAGUAUGAUCGUGCAAAGCAUCAAUGGGCCGUUGCAGCCGUCGUCCGAGAGUCAUUAUUCGUCACAUCACUGAAUUUGUACAAUAACGAGACUUAAUCCUUGCGGAUCGGUCUCUUUCCUUAGCCGUUACGGCGGCAAUGUGUGCCAUUUGAUAUUUCAUGUGAAUGCGCGCACACAGCCAAAAACCUGACUGCCUCUCUCAGAAUAAUUCUACCAUAUUACGCGGGGUGAUCCAAAAUUCGUGCAAAAGGUGUGCUUUCAGAGAUUUGCGAUUAAGCAUUGUGGAAAAUAGAUAAUAUCGUAUCAUUAUUGGAUUUAUCGUAAUUACUAAACAUAUAAAAAAUAAAUAAAUAACGAAUAUAUUUCUAAAUUUAAAGAAAUCCUUUAGUGAAGAAGUACGUGAUUUUUGAAACACCAUGUAAACGACAUGCCAAGUGAACUCGCACUUUUUUUUUUUAUCGGAAAAACGGGAAUUACAAACAUUGCGAGCGUUUUAAUAAAUCCAGGAUGUUCGAUGAAAGCGCACAAACAUAGGUUUCCGAUUGUCAUCGAUAAAUUUUAUAGGAAAUAUCGAAAGCACCGUGGAGUCAAAUAUUUUAAAAGAGAAUCUUAACCUUCAUACGCUAACAUAACUUGAGAUGUUAUAGUUGAUACAGAAUGGUUGAGCAGAAAAUUAUAGCA